RNAcentral lists this non-coding RNA (45 nucleotides) under Nocardioides insulae DSM 17944. RNAcentral's name for it is "L31-Actinobacteria ribosomal protein leader". It matches the Rfam family "L31-Actinobacteria ribosomal protein leader". Lineage: Bacteria; Bacillati; Actinomycetota; Actinomycetes; Propionibacteriales; Nocardioidaceae. The record is from RNAcentral.
UCGGUUCCGGUUCACGGUCGUGCGCUCGCACACCGACCCGGCACC